Molecule: long non-coding RNA, 1244 nt
Organism: Gasterosteus aculeatus aculeatus (three-spined stickleback)
Lineage: Eukaryota; Metazoa; Chordata; Actinopteri; Perciformes; Gasterosteidae
Source: Ensembl
AAUCGCGCCUAGUAGGGGGCAUGGCUUAUCCCUGUUACUUGUCUCCAUAAAGACAGUUAUAAUAAUGUCUGCCGUCCACCAUGGCGAUAAAUAACCACUAUUUCUGCUCUUUAUCUGUUGUGAGAAUGGCACGAACAUUGGAACCGCAAACAGUGUUGUGUUUGGGUUCAUGACGUCAUCCGUCGCCGCACACAGCUGGAAUUUCACCGACUCCUCCGAGUGCGUCUGGAUGACUGCGGCUUCCAGCGCUGCUUCAGGCGGACCAGCAGCCUGUUGGACACAUCUGACUUAAAGGCGUUCAGUCUCAGCUUAACUUCUCUGAGUGCGGUGGGUUCAUGAUCAGAAUAGGUAAUCAGGUACGAGGUCUUCAUCAACACUAACUUUGUCAGAGUUACCAUAGUUCCUGAGUGGUGCCACACUCUCUGUCGUCUCCAUAGACAGUAGAGUUGGAGCAGUCUUGCAAUGUGGCGGCUCAGGAUUGAUGGAAAGGCAACAUCACGAUCACAACGUGAAGAAUAUGCAUCAUCAGAGCUCGAGUCAUCACCACUUGGUGAAGAGCCAGGAACGUAGUCUUCAUCACAGAUGGAUGCUUCAUCACCGAAGGGUUCAACAUCCGUCACCUAAAAGAUUUGAAGAAACAUCUGCAUCCUCACAGAGCAGGCGUCCUCAAAGAGCAGGUGUCCUCAUCUCCUCUACCUACCGAACACGAUGGAAAAUGAAUAUUCAGGUUUGACAAGUUACCUGCUGUCCUCAUAACGUUGCAAACCAGCAUCCGGAAGCUUCCCAUCAGGGAGCCAGGAAGUAGUCGGUGACGGUCCUCAUGCGUUUGUGCGUGAGGAGGUCAAGCCGAGCCAUGAAACCUGGAGAAACGUCCACAUAGAAUCACCUUGGACCUUCAUAUCAGCCCUGGACAUGGCUGGAGAUCAAAGUGACCUACGAUGAGUUUGACACACCUGCUUUAGAGCAGAAUGAGGAUGUACUUUAUUGUAAUCAUUUCUUUCAGCUACAAUAACCAUGUUAUUAAGAGAUGGAAAGUUAAAGCCGUUCCUCUUUCUGUCCACGCUGCACAACGCGUGUUUUAUUGCAUUUAGUGGCAAUGCUGCUGCUGUUUGUCUUUUAUUUUGGCGGGAAAUCACGUUUAACACUUUCAAUGCUCCACUUUGUGAGGAGAUAAACUCCACCCUGUUAUCAAAUGUGUGCUUGUGCUUUGUGUGUUUUUGUUGGUGACUUAAGUGUGAUAUUUG